CCUACGGGAUGCUGCAGUGGGGGAUAUUGCACAAUGGGGGGAACCCUGAUGCAGCGACGCCGCGUGGGUGCAGGAGUGCUUCGGCAUGUAAAGCCCUAUCGGCAGGGAAGAAGCAAGACGGUACCUGACUAAGAAGCCCCGGCUAACUACGUGCCAGCAGCCGCGGUAAUACGUAGGGGGCGAGCGUUAUCCGGAUGCACUGGGUGUAAAGGGAGCGUAGACGGCCAUGCAAGCCAGGGGUGAAAGCCCGGGGCCCAACCCCGGGACUGCCCUUGGAACUGUGCGGCUAGAGUGCGGGAGGGGCAGGCGGAAUUCCUGGUGUAGCGGUGAAAUGCGUAGAGAUCAGGAGGAAUACCGGUGGCGAAGGCGGCCUGCUGGACUGCGACUGACGUUGAGGCUCGAAAGCGUGGGGAGCGAACAGGAUUAGAUACCCCAGUAGUC
RNAcentral lists this ribosomal RNA (441 nucleotides) under uncultured bacterium. Its description in RNAcentral is "partial 16S ribosomal RNA". It matches the Rfam family "Bacterial small subunit ribosomal RNA", at positions 338 to 795 of the family's 1533-position model. The record is from RNAcentral.